GCCCAGCCCAAAGUUCACUGCUGUGUGCAAAGGUUCAGAUGCUCAUUCCUCCCUGCUCCACAGAGAUCCUCUUCACAGCAGGAAGCCUGACCAGGAGCUUACCAUGGAAUGCUUUCCCUGCUAAGUGGAAACUGGUUGGAGCCUUCCCAAAGGCACUGGUGAGGCAGAAGGUACCUGGAAUUUUCACCAUUCCAGUCAAUGCAACAAGGCAUUUUGUCUUGGAGAAAAGAGGCAAUUAUUUCUAUUGGGAAAGCUCCCAGAUGAGCACAUCCUCUUGCUCCCAAAGGCUAAGAUGGUCACCACUGUCAGUGAUCCAUGAAUUCAGACACACUCCUGGAACCAGGACCUGACCUAAACUUAAUUACAGUCAAAGGUGGAACUCCAGCAGUUGAUAAAAUAUGCUAAUCUACUAUCUUCAGUUAAGAUGAGUAUUGGAAAGAAGAUUUCAGACCAAAAAAAAAAAGACCAAAUUUCAGCUAAGAAGAAAUUUUGGAACUUUGUGUUUCAGAAGUGCCUGUGAUUCAGCACUUUAUUAUGGCUGGCAACAUUGGCACAGCUUAGGGGUAUCAGCCCCUUUUUAAAUGCAUAUUCCCUUCACAGUGGAUUCUGAAAGCCUGUCAGAUAAAUCAACCCUUUUCGCAGCAUUUACAUCCGUACUCAGCCUUCAGUGUUGCUGCAAUCUCUGUGGGACUUAAACGAAUCCUUAAAUGCUGCCCUUAGAGACAUUUUCCUGAGGAACUAAUUUUCUGGAACACGGCCUCUAAAUGUAUGGAAAACCAGCAAAGCUUCUUUGUCUUCCCAUUUCCUGAACUUCAGAUCAAUUAUAAAAACACUGAUUU
This is a long non-coding RNA of Vidua chalybeata, 839 nucleotides long. RefSeq lists it as uncharacterized. The transcript is spliced from 4 exons. NCBI's taxonomy places the organism in Eukaryota, Metazoa, Chordata, Aves, Passeriformes, Viduidae. The record is from RefSeq and is a predicted model, not a curated record.